GUCGAGUCGGCCUGCGCGGAAGAUGUAACGGGGCUAAGUAGUAAACCGAAGCUGCGGCAAUGUGCUUUUGCACAUUGGGUAGGGGAGCGUUCUGUAAGCGGUUGAAGGUGUGUGGUAACGCAUGCUGGACGUAUCAGAAGUGCGAAUGCUGACAUGAGUAACGAUAAAGGGGGUGAAAAACCUCCUCGCCGGAAGACCAAGGGUUCCUGUCCAACGUUAAUCGGGGCAGGGUAAGUCGACCCCUAAGGCGAGGCCGAAAGGCGUAGUCGAUGGGAAACGGGUUAAUAUUCCCGUACUUCUUACAAUUGCGAUGGGGGGACGGAGAAGGCUAGGUGGGC
This 338-nucleotide ribosomal RNA is filed under the name Vibrio parahaemolyticus. Its description in RNAcentral is "partial 23S ribosomal RNA". It matches the Rfam family "Bacterial large subunit ribosomal RNA", at positions 1148 to 1491 of the family's 2925-position model. Lineage: Bacteria; Pseudomonadati; Pseudomonadota; Gammaproteobacteria; Vibrionales; Vibrionaceae. The record is from RNAcentral.